GGGGAAUUUUGGACAAUGGGCGCAAGCCUGAUCCAGCCAUGCCGCGUGUCUGAAGAAGGCCUUCGGGUUGUAAAGGACUUUUGUCAGGGAAGAAAAGGCUGUUGCUAAUAUCGACAGCUGAUGACGGUACCUGAAGAAUAAGCACCGGCUAACUACGUGCCAGCAGCCGCGGUAAUACGUAGGGUGCGAGCGUUAAUCGGAAUUACUGGGCGUAAAGCGAGCGCAGACGGUUACUUAAGCAGGAUGUGAAAUCCCCGGGCUCAACCUGGGAACUGCGUUCUGAACUGGGUGACUAGAGUGUGUCAGAGGGAGGUAGAAUUCCACGUGUAGCAGUGAAAUGCGUAGAGAUGUGGAGGAAUACCGAUGGCGAAGGCAGCCUCCUGGGAUAACACUGACGUUCAUGCUCGAAAGCGUGGGUAGCAAACAGGAUUAGAUACCCUGGUAGUCCACGCCCUAAACGAUGUCAAUUAGCUGUUGGGCAACUUGAUUGCUUAGUAGCGUAGCUAACGCGUGAAAUUGACCGCCUGGGGAGUACGGUCGCAAGAUUA
Molecule: ribosomal RNA, 548 nt
Filed under: uncultured bacterium
Lineage: Bacteria
Description: bacterial SSU rRNA
Rfam family: Bacterial small subunit ribosomal RNA
Source: RNAcentral